This 548-nucleotide ribosomal RNA is filed under the name Desmoscolecidae sp. 719_8-1500_X. Its description in RNAcentral is "eukaryotic LSU rRNA". It matches the Rfam family "Eukaryotic large subunit ribosomal RNA", at positions 392 to 828 of the family's 3401-position model. Lineage: Eukaryota; Metazoa; Nematoda; Chromadorea; Desmoscolecida; Desmoscolecidae. The record is from RNAcentral.
AGAGGGCGUGAAACCGCUUAGAAGGACACGAGAGGCGCGGAUUUUCAGCAAGGAUCAACUGAUGACUGUACUUUGUGCGUGUGUCAGUGCAUUUCUUGCCGGUGUGCACUGAAUGCUGUGAUGAGGAUGCCGAAGCCAGCCGAAGGGAGACACGCAUUUGUGUAAAUUUUCGGUUGUUCUUCAGUGAACUCUAUACGGUUAAGACAUCCUGUAUAGCUCGGAGUCGGGUGAACUUGCAUCGGUCGCUGUGUUUCGGUUUCUAAUCGGGCACGGUGAUUAAAAGUCUGUGAUCCCGUUCUCUGACAAGGUGUCGUUUCGGUGUGAACGUCGGCUACCCUCCCGACCCGUCUUGAAACACGGACCAAGGAGUCUAACAUGUGCGCGAGUCAAUGGGUGUAUCAAACCUACAGGCGAAAUGAAAGUAAAGGCCAGCUCGGUUGGCUGACACACGACCCGUUCAGCUUGCUGUUCGGAGCAGUGUGGUCCUAUCUUGAAUGCUUGCAUUGAGGUAGCGAUUGAGCGUACAUGUUGGGACCCGAAAGAUGGUG